AGUGGAACUGCUGGCUCCUAUGGUGAUUCUAUAUUUUGUUUUAAGAACUGUCAGACUGUUUUCUGCAGUGGCUGCACCAUUUUACAUUCCCAUCAACAGU
RNAcentral lists this microRNA precursor (100 nucleotides) under Marmota monax (woodchuck). The record is from RNAcentral. Lineage: Eukaryota; Metazoa; Chordata; Mammalia; Rodentia; Sciuridae.